This 68-nucleotide transfer RNA is filed under the name Trichopria drosophilae. Its description in RNAcentral is "tRNA-Pro". The record is from RNAcentral. Lineage: Eukaryota; Metazoa; Arthropoda; Insecta; Hymenoptera; Diapriidae.
CAAAAAAUAAUUUAAUUAAAAUAUUAAUUUUGGAGAUUAAUUAUAUAAUAUAUAUAUUAUUUUUUUGA